GAUGAACGCUGGCGGCGUGCCUAAUACAUGCAAGUCGAACGCACAGCGAAAGGUGCUUGCACCUUUCAAGUGAGUGGCGAACGGGUGAGUAACACGUGGACAACCUGCCUCAAGGCUGGGGAUAACAUUUGGAAACAGAUGCUAAUACCGAAUAAAACUUAGUGUCGCAUGACACAAAGUUAAAAGGCGCUUCGGCGUCACCUAGAGAUGGAUCCGCGGUGCAUUAGUAGUUGUGGGUAAAGGCUACAAGACAAUGAUGCAUAGCCGAGUUGAGAGACUGAUCGGCCACAUUGGGACUGAGACA
Molecule: ribosomal RNA, 304 nt
Filed under: uncultured bacterium
Lineage: Bacteria
Description: bacterial SSU rRNA
Rfam family: Bacterial small subunit ribosomal RNA
Source: RNAcentral